RNAcentral lists this long non-coding RNA (8276 nucleotides) under Coffea arabica (coffee). RNAcentral describes it as "long non-coding RNA (CARA_LNC005093)". Lineage: Eukaryota; Viridiplantae; Streptophyta; Magnoliopsida; Gentianales; Rubiaceae. The record is from RNAcentral.
AGUUACCUCAAAAACUUAGUUGGACAGCUUUAGAACAGAAAUCUUGACCGAAAUUCCUCCAAGAAAACCGAUGAACAGCCCCCUCUUCCAAGCUAGGAACAAAGCCCUCUAAUGGAUGAUGAAAUUUGGAAGUGGAUUGAGGUAAUUUUGUAAGGAUUUUGGCUAGAUUUUUCUUCCCAUCUUCUGCCCAAUAGAGAGUGACGAGAGGAGAGAGAAUGAAAUCAGGUAUUGUAAUGAAAGUGGAGAGAAUUGGAGCCUUAAGUCUAAGUGUCAACUCAUGCUAGGUCUGUUUAGGGUUUUCGCGUGUCCAAUUUUCGCGCUCGUUUGCAACUUUUGUGCACUAAACCUCUGAGGUAAUUUCCCUAGUACAUUAAUAGAACAUUACUAGUAGUCUAAUAUCAUGUUCUUAAAAUCUCCAAUUAAUCAAAUUAAUGUGCCUGUCGGGGCCUUUUCGGCACGCGCGCGUAUAAAGGUCAAACUUAAGGGUUUUUUCGUUUGAACUUGGAAAUUCAACUUAUUCGAUUCUAAAACUCUAAAAUAUGAUAAUCCAAAUAUAUAUAUAUAACAAUAAAAAUCACGAUAAGCAAUUCAUCUUGAAUAAAUUUGGGCAUUAAAAUAAUAUACGCGUAAAGAACCAAUCGGUAAAAUUUAUUUUCGAGAAAUUCAUGUACUUUAGUAUUUUUUUUUUGGGUAACUCGAGUACGAAAUAUUUUUAAAAUGACCAAUUUAACAAUAUUUUGAAAUAAUAAAAUUAUUGGUCCUCAUAUCCUCUCCCCCUUAAGAGAAUUUCGUUCUCGAAAUUCAUACCUUAACUCAAAAACUCCAGAUGUCACUUUUGCAUCCCAUUCUUACGAAUUGUAAAACUUUUUCUGCAUUAAAUAUCAUGUAAGUCUUGUAUUCUUAAUCUGUUCACGACGAGCGAGAUAACAAUUCCUUCAUGCGGUUCACAGAUUCAAUUGCCUCAAGAAAUUUGUCAAUUCAAGAACAAAUGAUGUAAUAGCCCUUUAAAUUGGUAUACGCAAUGAACUUUAAAUAUCUCGCAGAUCAAAUUCAAUAAGAUCUUAUUAGCACACAAGUUUUGUCCUACUGGACCUUAACCCUAGUAAUCUUUCAAAAUAGAUAGUAAGAGCCCUCAAGAAUCAAUAACUUCAAAAUCAUAUCUAGUUCCGUACACAUGUAUGCAAAUAUUGAAGUACGAAUUGAAACCUUACAUUCAAUAAUAUCUUAUUGUAGUCCCCAAGUCAUUUAUGAGUAUUAUUGCCAAUUUUUAACCCAAAUACGACUUAAAGACCCAAAUCCAUUAAUGCUACUGGUGUAUUCAUUACUCCCAAUGGCAUAAUUGAAUUUCAAAGUGCUUACUUUUCUGAUGAACUAGCCUUAAUCAUAUCUUCCUCUAGAAUCCUCAAUUAGUUGUAGACCUGUAUUAAAUCUAACUUGGAAAGUACUACUGUCUCUUGUAGAUACCCAAAUGAUUCAUUUAUGCAAGGUAAAAGAUAUUUAUUCCUGAUACCCACUUGAUUCCAGUCUCGAUAUUAUAGACAUGGCUUUCUCAAAAGGUUAUAAGCAUAACAAAAUUUAGAUAUACGAAUAAGUCAUGAAAUUGAUUAAAUGCAAAGUAAACUUUCAUUUGCUAUAAAAGACCAUAAUAGUUUCAUAAAGUUAGGAUAAGUUUAUCAAAUCAUUUCAAAAGAAAAGAGAAUAAACAAUAUUGUAGCAAAACAUGCUAAGUCAUCCAUGUUCAAAGCAACAAAAGAUUUCAUCCCUUACACAAAAGAUUACAACCUUCAAAAGUCUCAGCAUAGGCUAGGUUAUAAUCAUAAUUCCUGUCCUUAAGCAAAAUCAAAUCCAUCUUCACUCGUAGAGCUUCUAAUACUUUGGUUCUUCUCACAACCAUUAGUAUUAACAACUCCCUCUAACACUCGACUGUUUUGCAGCAGACUUAACGAGCUGCUGAGGAGUUCAUCGGGCAACUUAAAACUUAAUGCUCAGGACUCCCGCAUAGCAAGCAUUUGCUUGUUUCCUUCAGCCCAUAAUCUCAGUGUGAUUAAACUUGCCACAGUAUCCACAAGUUACGGCCUGAUUAGCUUGAGAAUUCUCCUUUUUCUUUUUCUUCUUUUCUCUCUGCUCCACAACAAAUUCAUGUUCACAUCUCUCUUUACGUUUCCCUUUUUUCAUUAUGGGAGUUUCCUUCACUACCCUUAACUUGGUUGCUAGAAAUAUACUGAGGUGAAACUUGAAUAGUGGGUCGCAUCCCCUCAAGUUUUUUUUUCUUUCCUGAAGUUCCUCCAAUACUCCUUCGUAUUUCUUUUUCAUUUCCAAUUUCUUGUUCCAUAAUUCCAUCUUCUCUACAAACUCUUGUUUGCAUCGUUCUUCCCAGAAUUCAACCAAUUUAGUCUGAAAUUCCAACUCCUUGCGAAGAACUUUUAUUUCUAUACGCAUCUCUUCCAAACUUUUCAUUUCAUCCAUUUGCUUAAUCCUAACUGUCAGCCUAUCAACAACUCAAAGCAUCUAAAUGAGUACCAAAUCAAAAUUUAAAACUUAACUAUCCACAACCUAUAAAUUCUCACGCAUCUAAGUCAUCCAGGUAUAUUUACUCUUACCUCUCCACGAAUUUGAUACGUAAGAAAAUUCACACCUACAAAUAAAGUAAUACCCCUUGAUAUAAUGAUAUGUACUUCCGUUCUAAGGUCUUACUCACGUAUGUAGUGAAACCAUAAAUUACACGCCAUAAGAAACAAGUUCCAAACCUUGACUAAAAACUGUUACGCACUAAUAAGACCAGAAUCCUUUUCCUCAAAAGUUUGUCUAAAUCAAAUCAAUCAUGACCUACAAGAUAAAGUCGAGACUUUUGAUAUAUUUUGAAUGUAUCUGUGGCAAAAUGCGAUUCAAAAUUUUCAAAAUUAUAGUUAAAGAUACAAAUUUUCUUCAUGAUCCAAAACUAAAUUUUCUUAGUAAGAGAUUUCAAAUAAUGUUUAACCACAAUCAUCAAUACAUAUUUCAAAUCUCUCAAAUAGAUUUAAGAAGAUUAAUCAUGCAACUUAAUGCAUGAAUUUUAAAACAUAUAUAUAAUAAUCAUAACAUAUACAUGGAGGGUGUUCCAACACUUUUCCUCAAAGUUUCGAGUUAAAUCUAUGUUCGGGUAAAGCGUAUAUUUUAGAAAAUACCUUUAAGAAAGAUAAAUAGACAUGUAGGUUCAUAUUCGCAUAACCUGUGAUCCAACACCUUUACCACCCUUUUAUAUCCAAACCAAGAGCUAACUCUACUAGUACAUAAAACCCGAUCAUUUCUAAUCUCUGAUUCAUAACAAAUAGGCAUUCAUGUUCCUAAGAAAAGAUUCGAACUUGAACUCUAUCUGAUUUCGAUUCUCAAACGAGUUCAAAAUGUGUAUACAUAUAUAUAUAUAUAUAUAUAUAAAUUUUGUGAAAAAGUAAAACAAGUGAAUCUGGGUAUAGUAAUUGUCAAGUAAAAUUGAAAGCGCUUUUGUUCAAGUAGAAUAAAUAGGUAAUGAGUUCAAAUCAUCUCACCAAACCAACGAAAUACUUUCGGAGUUCAAACUUCAUAAAAGUUGAAAGAUGGCCAUAGGACCACUCAUAAUAUACGUAUAAAGCAACUAUUAAAAUUUUGCACAAGAAAAUCUCAUCAAGUUCCCAACUAGGUUAAUCCAUUAUACACUGGUAGAUCUAAUCUUCUGGUUUAUUCUCGAUUCAUAUUCAGUACUAGGGUCUCAUUAAAUUAUAUAAGACUAUCCAUCAAUUUUGUCAUGAGUACAGGGUUGUCUAAACCCUGGGCCACGACCCCUUUUUCCCAUUCCUGCUGCUAUACUUAAUAGAAGUCUAUAAGCACAAGAAAAGGAAUAAUUAAGCAUAAAAGAACUUAAUGCAUAUACAAGUUGCAAAAAUAUUUAGAAUCAAAACAUGCUUCUUUACAUGUAUCAAAAGUUAUAGCAUGAGUUAGAAGUCACAAAACAAGCCCAAUAUGUCAAAUACUGCAUAUAGGCAAUUAAGUGCCACAAAAUAUAGAAGUAUAUGCAAGCAGGAUACAAAAGGCCUCACGGCGUGCACCACCCUUCCUAAGUCCUUAGUUAAACCAAAGGAUCCAAAUAUCACUAAUUUCAAUUAGAUCACAUGCCUUUCCGAAAUUAGAUCCAAUCAAACCAUAACACAAGCUGAAACCAAAGGUUAUCCAUUCGAAAUUCAAAAUCUUUAAUAAGCAAGCCACCAGCCAGAGUACCAUCAUCUCCAAGAAUAACCAGUCUUAGGGUUUUAUAGUUAAAGCCUCAAGCUCCAAGUUCAAACCCAAGAAAUAAGUACAACUUGCUAACUUACGUGUCAAAUGGAAACCAAGUCAAUUCACACUAACUUCGUGCUCUUGAAUGCGGUUAUUCUAUAUUUCAAAGUUCCUUCAGCCCGUACACCUAAAGAUAGGCUCACUCUUCUUGAAAACCAAGAAUUUUAAAACAUAAGAAGAGUAAUCAAAGUAACCAAAAAUCUUAUCAAGUUCAAGAUUUACAUUAUAAAAACAUAAGUUCGCCAUUCUUCCGAAAACUCAAGAUUUUUUUUUUUUGUAAAGCAUAGACAAAUUCAGGUGUGAGAAUACACCAGUAUACAAUCAAGGGGAAAAACUUAGUUUAGAAAAUUUUAAUCUUGUAUCAGCCCAUCAUAUACAAAAUUCAACAAACUCAUCAGUUAUUCACAAAUUUUCAGAUUGAAAUUCAAGUAAAAUUCACAUAUUUACCAAAAUCAGAAAAUUAUACAUACUUAAAGUAUAUAUAUAUUAUUUCCAAUCAUCGUUUGAAAAUAAAACUAGUACAUCCUCGUUUUUCUUUAGAAUUUCAAAGCAGAAAUUCUCUAGGAGGUAAAUGGGCGGGAAAAUGCAUUUUAUUCCUUUGAAACUCUUUUAUCUUGGUUCAAAAUCACCAUACAUGGAGUUUGAUCAUCAAAUCCCGGUCUCUUAUCCUCUAUAGCCAGUACUAAUAAUUGUCUCAAUUCUUUCCAUACUUACAAGUAUAAUAAUAAUUCAAAUUCAUCCAAUCUUUCACUACUAAUCCUCAUCCCAUAUUUUCCAUCAAUAUAACAUCACCUAAUUCCUCAAUUUUUUUUUUAUUUCUACAAGUCCCAAGUAAGAAACUCUCAAAUAAUCAAUUUCUGUAACCCCUAGGAUACAAUAGGUACUCAUUCACAUAAUAUUCAAAUUACUCCCACAGUCAGGCAUCCAAAACUUUAAGUCUAGGAUACACUACGAGAUCUAGGGCCUGGGCUCUGAUACCAACUGUGACAGCCCCACCUCCCCCUAAGGCGAACCAAAGGGUUCGGCGGACCACCUGCCCAACUCUCGCCGGGACUCACUACAGUCCUCAACUAAAAUACAUCACUCACAUCCAAUAACAUAGGGCACAACCUCAAGAAUAAACGAAAUAACAUUUUUCAAACUUAGAACGAGAUAAGAUACAUUACAAAUCUCAAGUAAGGGUAUCAUUCCCCGAAUAAAAUAAAAGUCCUCAGUUCUCAAAUAAUUACAUCAAAUACUUAUCAAGAGAAUCGAAUUCAAAUUAUAUAUGAGAUAUCCUUUCAGGCACUAAUCACUCAAUACAAGCGCUUUCUUUGGCCUCGAGCCUUGUGGGAAAAAAUUAUUUUUGGGGGUCACUAAUUAAGUCUCAGAACUUCCACUUCCAAACCUGUUAAGGAAAACAAAUUGGGGUGAGCUAACGCUCAGUGAGGCCAAGGGAAAAACAUGCAAGCAUGCUAGCAAAGAUACAAUAUAAAGCAAUAACUCGAGUAACCAAUAAUUGCGAAACAUUAAGCAAUUAGAGAAUUUAAUCACAAUAAAAGGAUACGGGAGCUCUCAGGAGCUAAUCCACGCGCGAUCCAAGCUCAGGUAGUUGACCCUCCGUCAACUUUCACAGUUAUCCAUGUAGAACUCCACUUACUACCUCCAGCCACCAUGACACCCUCUUGGAUCCGUAACCAAACAAGCAUGUAGGUGGUAUCAUUUAACAAGUAUACCUAGCAAGACCCCUUAUUUGGAUCAAGCUAUAACACUGCCCAAGAUUCACCAAGUUUCUCGACCAAGCCCUUGCCGGCUCGAGUUACAAGGCUAGCCAAUGGGUUGGGGCGUCCCCCCCAUUCACUUUUAGGUUGAUGAGACGAAACUCCAAUCGACAAGAUUUGGUCAUAGCAUUGAGACGGGAUGAGCGGUACCUCCUACCCUAAAAGGGCAUGAUACAUUCUGCUGCUCAAUGCUCACGAAAAACACUUUCAUUUGCAUUCACAUGUAACACGUAUCACUUAUUAAGCAAGCAAUUUCAUGAAAGAGAGGACAAGGGCGAUAAAGUACGCCCUAGCCUCAUUAACUAGCAAGUACAAGAAUCAUUUCAUUUAAACACUUCACAUGCACUUGAUACUCACCAAGUAUCAAAAGUCAAAGUUUGAGAAAUUAGCUCUAAGACGCUUCGCCGGGAGUUCCCUCGAAGUCCUCUUGAGAUCCUAAAAGUAUGCAAUAAUGCAUUGUAUCUCAAAUUCCAGGCCAUACAGUAUUCGUGUAAAGAAAAGAAAUUGUCAAUUUUGACUCCAAAAUUCAAGUUUCCAAAGUAUUUCAGUUCAUAAGAAACCGACUUUCAAAUGAGGUCUCAAGUGAUAGGUAAACUCAAGUUCACCAUGAAAAUAGGUUUGAAAUGCUCUAAGAGUUGUAAAAAUGUAACCUAGGCCCUUAAAAGAACAUUUAGGUCCAAAUUGGAAAUUUUCAUUUUUCUCGUCAUUCUUGGAAAAAUCAGUUCGGAAGUUCGGAAAGUCUAAAAAUGGAAAAUUUUACACCGUCAAAAACUUCAUUCGAAGCAUAACAACUUUACAGAAGGUCACUUUCCAAGAAUCAAAUCAGAAACAAGUCAAUUUCUCCAAGAAAGUUUACUAUGCAUUGAAGAUAGGUCAAAACAGUCCAAGUUUUCCCAAUAAUUUUGGAAUUUCGUUAAAAAUCAUAGAAUCAAAACUAGCCUUUGAAAUUUGAUAUGCAUGUAAAUUUCCAAUCCAGGUUUCAAAUAAAAAAAAAUGGAACUCGAUUCCGAUGUUCCUUGCUCAAGAAAUAAAAAGUUUAAGUUCACUAAAAUUCCUGGACUGUUGGCCUUUCCAGAAAUUUUCCAGAUUUAAUGCACUUCGCUAAUUAGGCCGUAUCUCACUCGAUUCUCAGUGAAAUUGAAAACGGUUGGUGGAUUUAGAAACUAGGUUUACAAGGCUAUAUUUGUGUAGAAGAAAUCAUUUCCAAAAUCCAGACAUAAGUGGUUCAAAAUCAAGCAGAAAAAUGGAUUUUCUGGACAGUCUCGGAUGAACAGUAAUAAGCAGGCAGCCAACUUUCAAAACUCGCCACGAGUCGCUCGGGAUGAACUAGAAAAUGAGCUUGGUACCAUUUUAAAGCUCUAAGAGUCUACUUUCAAAUGCUGCAAAUGGCAGUCCAGUUCGAUCAACGAGCAAAACGUUAUAGCUACACAAAUGUUGCUGGUCAGAAAAUUCUGGAGCUUGUUCCAGUUUUGCUUCUUUACUUGUAACUCAAAAUUUAACCAACCAUUUGGGUUGAUUUUUGGUAGACAACCACAAUACACAUAACACAACAUAUCUACACCAAUUUGGAAGCUCAAUUUGCACCAGAAAAUUUUCGAAAUUACAGGGCAGCAGCAAACAAGAAAGUCGGCAGCAAGUCAGAAAUUUCAGACAGUACCUUUUCCAAAUUUCUAACUUUCUUCCAACUUCAUUCCAUCAAUCAUUCUAUAUACAUGUAACAUAGCACAAUAUCAGCAACCAAAACAUGUUAAUUCAUCAAAUCAGCCACCAAUAAGCAUCCUCAAACCCUCGAGCAUGUCAUGAAAUUGCAAGAACAUAAUUACUCAACCAAUCAACCCAAAUUCUACCAUAGGUUGCAAACCCAUGCUACCUUUGCUCCAUUUGAGCUAUAAUUUUGCAAGAUUGAAGUGUGGGUGAGUGAGUUACCUCAAAAACUUAGUUGGACAGCUUUAGAGCAGAAAUCUUGACCGAAAUUCCUCCAAGAAAACCGAUGAACAGCCCCCUCUUCCAAGCUAGGAUCAAAGCCCUCUAAUGGAUGAUGAAAUUUGGAAGUGGAUUGAGGUAAUUUUGUAAGGAUUUUGGCUAGAUUUUUCUUCCCAUCUUCUGCCCAAUAGAGAGUGACGAGAGGAGAGAGAAUGAAAUCAGGUAUUGUAAUGAAAGUGGAGAGAAUUGGUGCCUUAAGUCUAAGUGUCAACUCAUGCUAGGUCUGUUUAGGGUCUUCGCGUGUCC